ACAUAACCUAGUGGUAUGGUUCUGAUAAUAGAAACAUAUUACACGAAGUGCCAGAUAACAAAUACCACUAUUCUAAUCACCAGUGGCUCGGUGUCGAAACCAAUUUUUCGGCUUACAAGUCAACAGAUCCAACGUAUAAUCCCCAUGGACGGGGCCACGUCAUAGCCAUGCUGAGAACACAUAUAUAUAUAAGCAAUUUCACAAAUUUUCCAGUCAAGUUUUCUAAAUCUAUUUCUCAAAUCAUACCAUAUAUUUAAAAUAAAUUAUUUUUGAGAAUAAAACAAUACACGCUUGACCCAUUUAUUAAACUGAAAAUAGAUAGCAUAAAUCAAAUAAAAUAACUAAUUAUAAUUUUUCAAAAAGAAAACACACAUGAAGCGUUAGGUUACUUACCUUAUCACGCCUUAGAAUCCAACUUCAAUCAAACAGAUCGGACAUACCUAUUCAAAACAAUUAAAAUUUAAUUAAUUAGUCAAUUUCUUAGAAGUCCAUCGAUAAGAAAUUCCAAAGAACCUAAAUGGAUCAAAGGAGCAAAAUAACCCAACUACGGGUAAGACUAGGAUGGCUUCAUACUUGAAUCAAGAUAGAUCAAGGAUAGACCAAUCAAAUAGUGAAGCCCAACGGCCC
RNAcentral lists this long non-coding RNA (627 nucleotides) under Elaeis guineensis (African oil palm). RNAcentral's name for it is "long non-coding RNA (EGUI_LNC074196)". The record is from RNAcentral. Lineage: Eukaryota; Viridiplantae; Streptophyta; Magnoliopsida; Arecales; Arecaceae.